CAUGCGAAGUAGCGUCAGACGGGGAAUUGGUAUGUUGCAAGUUCUACCAGUUCAUCGUCUGACGUUUAAGUUCCCAUG
RNAcentral lists this microRNA precursor (78 nucleotides) under Heliconius melpomene (postman butterfly). RNAcentral describes it as "mir-6301 microRNA precursor family". It matches the Rfam family "mir-6301 microRNA precursor family". The record is from Rfam by way of RNAcentral. Lineage: Eukaryota; Metazoa; Arthropoda; Insecta; Lepidoptera; Nymphalidae.